CCUACGGGAGGCAGCAGUAGGGAAUAUUGCUCAAUGGGGGAAACCCUGAAGCAGCAACGCCGCGUGGAGGAUGAAGGUUUUCGGAUUGUAAACUCCUUUUGUUAGAGAAGAUAAUGACGGUAUCUAACGAAUAAGCACCGGCUAACUCCGUUCCAGCAGCCGCGGUAAUACGGAGGGUGCAAGAGUUACUCGGAAUCACUGGGCGUAAAGAGCGCGUAGGCGGUAUAGCAAGUCAGAUGUGAAAUCCUAUGGCUUAACCAUAGAACUGCAUUUGAAACUGUUAUUCUAGAGUAUGGGAGAGGGAGGUGGAAUUCUUGGUGUAGGGGUAAAAUGCGUAGAGAUCAAGAGGAAUACUCAUUGCGAAGGCGACCUGCUAGAACAUAACUGACGCUGAUGCGCGAAAGCGUGGGGAGCAAACAGGAUUAGAUACCCCUGUAGUC
RNAcentral lists this ribosomal RNA (440 nucleotides) under uncultured bacterium. RNAcentral describes it as "partial 16S ribosomal RNA". It matches the Rfam family "Bacterial small subunit ribosomal RNA", at positions 338 to 795 of the family's 1533-position model. The record is from RNAcentral.